Molecule: long non-coding RNA, 5154 nt
Organism: Artibeus jamaicensis (Jamaican fruit-eating bat)
Lineage: Eukaryota; Metazoa; Chordata; Mammalia; Chiroptera; Phyllostomidae
Exons: 3
Source: RefSeq, a predicted model, not a curated record
UGAAGAUACUACCUUACAGAUCUGUAUAGCAUUUACAACUCAUUGCAAGUAUAUGUAACUCUAAAAUAACAUAAGUAGAUAAUAUUUUAAUAAACAUUUAACACAAAGAUAAAGAUGAAUCGAUAAUAAAAUAGAGGGCAUAGUGGACAAGGCAGAAAGCUUAUAAAGGAGCUAAUUUAGUGACCAAUAACCUGAAUGAAACAGAUAGAAUGAGAAAGUUUAAUGGUAAACAUUUAAACCAAAAAGAUAAAAAUGAAAGUGAACGUUGUCACAGGCAUAAAAUUCUCUAUCUCAGUUUGGGUGUGCAAAAAAAAAAAAAAAGAUAGGGUGAAGGGCUCUUCUUUACAGCUCUAUAUAGAAAAUAGCUCUAUAACUAGGCUCAUUUGCAGGCUUUGCUAAUGAUAGAAAACAAACUUGCCAAUGCAGUUUAAUUCAGUAACUUCUGGGUUAAAACAUAAUUACUUCUAUCUAAUAGCUCUGUUCUUCCGGAGUUCUCCCUCUCCCUUUUUUCUUUUCCUUCUCCCCUUGCAUGUGGCCUGAGACUACAAGGGCAGGCACAGUGUCCUGACCCUUUGGACAGCUGGCCUUGGCCUUGGCCUUCCUCCCUCUGUGCUUGGCCAUGUGCCAAGCUUCUCCAGGGACCCUUCUCACAGUUUCCUUAGGCCAUAGCUGGGAAGGGAAGUACAAUCCUGCACAGCUCUGGAGGUCCCCCAAACUCAUCACACAUUCUCAUCGACCUUGCAACAUGGGGGGGUCAUCCUGAAGGGGAAGCAACCUGGCUUCAGGCUCUUAGAAAGUGUGCAUCUCGGCUCACAGCCCUUUUACAUCUAUCUUCCUCUUCAGCAGCCACUGGCUGAAUUCUCAUCUCCUUUUGGGAGGGAAACCGGCUCUGAUAUUAUUACGCACCUCUUUGCCAGAGGGACAUAAACAGCUUUCUCUGGGGCUGCUAGGCCCCCUAAAUUAAAGCAUAAACAAAGUACUUCUGCAAAUGGGCAAGUACUAGCUUGGGCUGUUGACCUCCUUUCCAAACCCUUUUCUGUAGGGACCUCAGAGGGAGACAGAAAUAUAUGGAGUUGACAAAAGUAAAUAAAAGGAAAAUUUGAGUAAGACAAUUUGAGCCUGGCAUGCUGGGGGCAAGGACAGAAAGCACUCUCAGAUGCAGGCAGACAUCUAACCCCUGAAUAUCCCUCUUCUCCCUCCCGUCCUGGAGGCCCCGGAGAGUAUAAGAAAGGAGAUACCUUUAAAUAGAACAGCUUUGGGAUAGAAGAGCUCAUGAUGAGGAUCACAAUAGUAACUAUCUGUGAUGGAAAUUUUCAGUUCAAAGCCAGCAUCUCUCACCUGACUUGUGGGGGCUCCAAAGAGGAGUGUCAGAAAACUCCUGCCCAAGACCCUGCCUUCUGGGCCACUGACUGCAGCCCACUCCCUCCCAGGGCAAAGCGUGUCUCAUGGGAGAAGGGUGGAUGCCUGGUAAACUGGGGAGGUGGGGAAGGAAUUGGGCAGAAGUGGCAGAGAGUGCUCCCAGAGAGGAAAACAGCAUUUCGUCUAGAAGAUCCAGGUGGAAGCCAGGAAAAUGACCAGCUCUAUAGCCAAACAGCAGAGCCAUUGGCAAGGAUGAACAGAAUUGGCAGCUCCAAAGCAGAAAGAAAUUAAGUUGUUCAAAAUCAAGGCUGUUGCAGAUGAGUUUGGGCUGGAGUUUUAACCAGGGAGGAAUUGCAUGGCCGAGCUGGGUGUGAGAGCUGAAAGGAGUUACCUUUCUGCCUGGAAAUGGAGAGCCAUCUAUUCUCCCCCUUUUCAUCCUUCUCCCUUUUCCCCCUUUCUAUCUUUCCUACCUGUAUCUUUUUUUAUUUGGAGAAAACUUUAUAUAUGUUCCACUACUUGGAGUACACAGAUGUUAAUAUUUCAUCAUAUUGGCUUCCAAUAUUUUUUAAUCAAAAACUCCCGUAUUACAGAUAACAUUGUCCCUCUCCUCAGUCCCAUUCAUCUCCUUCCCUGCCUGAGCACGUCUACUAUCACGAAUUUGGUGUAGAUUCUUCUAGUCCACACUUAAAUAUUUUUUGCUAUGCAUAUGUUUAUCCACAAACAAUAUAAUAUAUUGUGUUUUUAAGUGGAGUAAGUAUGUCAUACCAUGCAUAUUGAUGGGCAACUUGCUUUGGUUAAUGAACAUAUUUUUUUUGCUCUAACAACAUUCAAUAUAUUGAUCAAGUUUGCUCCUUCUAACUAUUGUGUAGUAUCCCAUCAUGUCGCAUACCAUUCUCUCUGUAGUCAUUCCCUUCAUGAUAUGUUUUCCAACUUUUCACCAUUAUAGGCAAUGCUAAUGAACAUCUUAAUGCCUGUUUAUUCUUUAGCAAAAAAACCCAGCAGUUUCUAGAGCAAAAGAAAUAAUAAACUAUAAUUCUAAUCUUUUUUGUGCAUUCUAUGAUAAAGGAUAAGAUGCAUCCAAAAUUACUGUGUGCCCUAAAUGUACGCAGGGGUCGCCAGUUGGUUGAGCUCAUUGCUUAUCUUGUUGGAAUGCUCUAGUACACUCGAAUGCAGGCUUGAGAACCAAAUGCUCAGGUCCACACCUUGACUCAGACUCCAAUGAACUGAGGGUCAUUGCCUAGUCAGAAUUCUUUCCCCUUCUAGUGUCGGCUGAGGAGUGGACUCACAUUGGUGUGUGUUGGACAACAGGACCUUUGAUGCAUUCUCCCAGUGUUUGGGCUGCUUUGUGGAGCUUUCCUUUUACAUGAGCUGUUAGGCAAUAUGGCCUCAAACCAAGGAAGCUGUGAAUCUGGAUCUCUUUCUUUUCUUUAUCCACUACUUCCUCCUCCGUCACCCCCUAUAACACCCUUGGGCAUCUUGGAUGUUAGCUUUUAACUUCAGUCUCCACUCUGAUUGGAGACUGGCAGACACGUACAUACCUGCCAGCACCUGGCCAGAUGACACCAGAGAGAGAGAAAUGGCAUGAAUGUGCUUUCUGCCAGUAUGGAGCUGGCCAAGGCCACAGCGGGGGUCUAGUCCUGCCCAACCAUGUGACAGGAGGGGAUCAACAGACUUCCUCCCAUAUGGAAACAGACCCUGGCGUAGUGUUCCAGCCCAGAGGAGAGAGGAGUUGAAAGAGCCUUGCCGUUAUGGCUUCUAAACCCUGUAACUAUACUUACUAGAAAACUUGGUUGAAAUAGUACCUGACAACUGAUGGAACCAGAUCACGAUUCAUUCUUUCCUGAGUGAAAGAAAAAUGAGAGGGAACUAGGAGAAGAGAGGAGCUUUGUGAGCCUCUCCCCGCCCAGGCCGGGUGCACUGAGAGGUGUGAUCCAUCCCCAGAUCCUAGUGGUUCUGGCUCCCAGCUUCUUUUCAAGUCUAGACACCUGUUGCAAUCAUAGAGUUAAAAAACCUUUCUCUCCAGACCAGCCCAGAAAUCCACAGGGCAGAGAAAAAUGGAAUAUGCUUACAGACAUGUUGAGGAAAAAGAUAAACAAUGUCAGGAGUUUGGGUUUUAGUUAAAUUCUAUUUAUUUAAAAAGGUUGAGGACUUCCGCCAAGAUGGAGGCAUAGGUGGACACACUGUGCCUUCUCGUACAACUAAGUUUAAAAACAAUAAAGUUUUAGCAACAAAAACACAGCCAAACCACAGAAAAUUGAACUAUAUGGAAGUCUGACAACAACUAACCCUUCAGUCAAAUCAGUAAGAGGGGCAGAGCCAGCAGCAGAGCAGGGUCGGGAAGGAAAGACCCACCGGACCCACCCGGGCAUGCCACCCAGUCGUGCCACCAGCCGUGGGCAGAUCCCAGGUGUAGAGUAGCAGGGGGCAGACCCACUGAGUGUGCAAGGCAGUGGACCGCGGUGAGGACUGACUGCGGUCACACAUUUGCACACAGAUAAACUGGUGAAGGAGCGAGCAAUGACACGGACUGCACAGGCCUCAGCAGCGUGAAGCAGCAGAGGGGACCGCUAUUGUUCCUCUCUGACCCCGCCCCCAUAUGCAGCAUCACAAACCAGCAACCUGGGGGGCCCCACCCUGGUGAACAUCAAAGACUCCACUCCUCAUAUAUAACAGGCACAAACAGAUCAAAACAUUAUGGCUCAAGAAGAACUCAGAGCCCUGGAGCUGAUAAAUAUAAGUGAUGAAGAAAUAGCCAAACUUUCAGAUGCACAGUUCAAAACACUAGUGAUCAGGAUGCUCACAGAACUGGUUGAUUUUAGUCACAAAUUAGAGGAACAUAUGAAGGCUAAACUAAUUGAAAUGAAGGGAAAUGCACAGGAAACCAAUAGUAAUGGAAAGGAAACUGGGACUCAAAUCAAAGGAGUGGACCAGAAGGAAGAAAAAAAGGACCAAACAGAAAAGGAUAAAGAAACAAGAGUUCAAAAAAAUGAGGAGAGACUUAGGAACCUCCAGGACAUCUUUAAAUGCCCCAACAUCCGAAUUAUAGGGGUACCAGAGGGGAAGAGGAACAGCCACGAGUGGAAAACUUAUUUGAACAAAUAAUAAAGGAGAACUUCUCCAAUCCGGCAAAGGAAAUAGACUUCCAGGAAAUCCAGGAAGCUCAGAGAGUCCCAAAGAAGUUGGGCCCAAGAAGGAACACACCAAGGCACAUCAUCAUGACAUUAGCCAAGAUUCAAAUGAAGGAGAGAAUCCUAGAAGCAGCAAGAGAUAAGGGGACAGUCACCUACACAGGAGUUCCCAUCAGACUGUCAGCUGAUUUCUCAAAAGAGACCUUACAGACAAGAAGGGGCUGGAAAGAAGUAUUCCAAGUCAUGAAAUCCAAAGACCUACAUCCAACAUUGCUCUAUCCAGCAAAGCUUUCAUUUAGAAUGGAAGGGCAGAUAAAGUGUUUCUCAGAUAAGAUCAAAUUCAAGGAGUUCAUCAUCACCAAGCCCUUAUUAUAUGAAAUGUUAAAGGGACUUACCUAAGAAAAAGAAGAUAAAAAAGAUGAACAGUGAAAGGACAGCAAACUCACAGUUAUUAAGAACCACACCUAAAACAAAAGCAAACUAAGAGGACAGCUAGAUCAGGAGCAGAACCAUGGAAAUGAAGAUCACAUUGAGGGUUAGCAACAGGGGAGUGGGAGAAGGAGAAGGGAGGAGAAGGUAUAGAAAAUAAGUAGCAUAGACAGUAGGUAGAAAAGAGGGGGGAGGGCGAGAAUAGUAUGAGAAAUAUAGAAUCUAAAGAACCUGAGAC